Molecule: ribosomal RNA, 253 nt
Filed under: uncultured bacterium
Lineage: Bacteria
Description: partial 16S ribosomal RNA
Rfam family: Bacterial small subunit ribosomal RNA
Source: RNAcentral
UACGGAGGGUGCAAGCGUUAUCCGGAUUCACUGGGUUUAAAGGGUGCGUAGGUGGGCAGGUAAGUCAGUGGUGAAAUCUCCGGGCUUAACCCGGAAACUGCCAUUGAUACUAUCUGUCUUGAAUACCGUGGAGGUGAGCGGAAUAUGUCAUGUAGCGGUGAAGUGCUUAGAUAUGACAUAGAACACCAAUUGCGAAGGCAGCUCACUACGCGAAUAUUGACACUGAGGCACGAAAGCGUGGGGAUCAAACAGG